Molecule: unclassified non-coding RNA, 166 nt
Filed under: uncultured Halosphaeriaceae
Lineage: Eukaryota; Fungi; Ascomycota; Sordariomycetes; Microascales; Halosphaeriaceae
Description: sequence contains ITS2
Source: RNAcentral
CAACCCCUCAGGCCCUGGUGCCUGGCGUCGGGGCGUUCCCUCGCGGGAAGCCCCCAGAGACAGUGGCGGACCAGUCGCGGCUCCGAGCGCAGUAGUAACAUUCUCGCUUAGGAGGUCUGCGGCGGGCUCCCGGCCGUAAAACCCAGCCGCAAGGCUGACUUCUCAA